CAGCAGCCGCGGUAAUACAGAGGGUGCGAGCGUUAAUCGGAUUUACUGGGCGUAAAGCGUGCGUAGGCGGCUAAUUGAGUCGGAUGUGAAAUCCCCGAGCUUAACUUGGGAAUUGCAUUCGAUACUGGUUAGCUAGAGUGUGGGAGAGGAUGGUAGAAUUCCAGGUGUAGCGGUGAAAUGCGUAGAGAUCUGGUGGAAUACCGAUGGCGAAGGCAGCCAUCUGGCCUAACACUGACGCUGAGGUACGAAAGCAUGGGGAGCAAACAGGAUUAGAUACCCCUGUAGUCCCUGUCUCUUAUAC
Molecule: ribosomal RNA, 301 nt
Filed under: uncultured bacterium
Lineage: Bacteria
Description: partial 16S ribosomal RNA
Rfam family: Bacterial small subunit ribosomal RNA
Source: RNAcentral